CAGGAGCCCUUUGGUGGCACGUGUUGGGGUCAUGCAGAGCCAUCCUGCCGCAAGAAGGGGGUGGUGGCGGUUCCGGGCGCCCCCGCCAUCCGUGCGCAGCUGCCCGCGUUGCGGCAGGUCCCUGAUUCUCGCAGGUGCGUCUGCAGCGCCGCGAGGGGGUUUACAAUCUCCACCCGUGUGUCAUCUUUGAGUACAGGUGUUUAGCAUGAGUUUUGGAAGCCCAGCCAGGGGCAGUGCCCCUUCACAGAUUCACCAGUAACCUGGCGGACUGAAAGCCUAAGGUCACUGCUGUUGGAGAAGUGCUGUUGAGAAGGCUGGGGUGCCUAGGUGAUGAAUGGUUCCUUCCACUUCAGGCCCAGGCCAUGACAUGAGGAGCCACAGCCCUUCUCUGGCAACCAUGGAUUUUGCUGAUUCAAAGGAUGCUCUCUGGUGUUGGGAAGACCCUAGGAACUUAAUCUUUCCUGCAUUAGCCAGUGUGAGCAGCUGUCAACCUCUCCAGAAAACUGCCUAGAAAUGUGGGAGCACUAAAAUAUCAAUUAGCUUUCACUUCUUUACUUUGUCUUAAAUAAGUACUUGGCUUUAUCAAAAGGAUUCCAAUAAAAUAUAUUAAAGCAAAUAAAGUAGAUUCUUUGGUCUCA
This is a long non-coding RNA of Molossus molossus (Pallas's mastiff bat), 638 nucleotides long. RefSeq lists it as uncharacterized. The record is from RefSeq and is a predicted model, not a curated record. The transcript has 5 exons. Lineage: Eukaryota; Metazoa; Chordata; Mammalia; Chiroptera; Molossidae.